AAACCAACAGGGAUUGCCUCAGUAGCGGCGAGUGAAGCGGCAAAAGCUCCAUUUUGAAAGCUCUUCGGAGCGUUGUAGAUUGGUGGGAAGCUAACGGCUGGUGGGAGACCAAGUCCUCUGGAACGAGGCGCCAUAGAGGGUGAGAGCCCCGUGUGUCUCCUUUACCGACCUUUCAGCCCCCUCCGCGGAGUCGAGUUGUUUGGGAAUGCAGCUCUAAGUGGGUGGUAAAUUCCAUCUAAGGCUAAAUAUUGGCGAGAGACCGAUAGCGAACAAGUACAGUGAUGGAAAGAUGAAAAGCACUUUGAAAAGAGAGUGAAACAGUACGUGAAAUUGUUGAAAGGGAAGGGUAUUUGGCCCGACAUGGGUCCUAUGCACCGUUGCCUCUCGUGGGCGGCGCUCUGCUUGGGCCUGGGCCAGCGUCAGUUUGGAGGGGGCGAGAAGGGUUUUGGGGAGUUGCCUAGCAAUUCCCCUUUGCUAGAUUGCCCCACACCGGACUGAGGACCGCCAUCUGUAGGAUGCUGGCACAACGGCCAAAUACCGCCCGUCUG
RNAcentral lists this ribosomal RNA (548 nucleotides) under Saturnispora silvae. RNAcentral's name for it is "eukaryotic LSU rRNA". It matches the Rfam family "Eukaryotic large subunit ribosomal RNA", at positions 62 to 655 of the family's 3401-position model. The record is from RNAcentral. Lineage: Eukaryota; Fungi; Ascomycota; Pichiomycetes; Pichiales; Pichiaceae.